Podarcis lilfordi (Lilford's wall lizard) is the source of this 681-nucleotide non-coding RNA. The record is from the annotation of a GenBank genome assembly. NCBI's taxonomy places the organism in Eukaryota, Metazoa, Chordata, Lepidosauria, Squamata, Lacertidae.
UGCUUGCGUCUUCCUCCUCCCCGGCGUCCAAUAGAAGAGCCUUCUAUGCUGAUGCUGCAAAGAAACUUGGAGAAAUUGAAAUAUCAUUUGGGAUAGUUAGCACAGGGCAGGGGGGUGGGCAGAUUGGGAUCCAGCCUCAGGAAGAAGAUCAGCCAGGAUUUAUCACUGACAAAACUGUAUAAAAUUGUGUAACAGCAAUUCCCCCAUUACGUUGCUGAAAUGAAUGAAGUUUUCAGGGUGGUAGUAACUGUAAUGGAUUUUUGUGUUAGGAGGGUUGUUGUUGUUGUUGUUGUUGUUGUUGAACUGAUUUUGAGAAAUAGAGAAUUGUACCAACAGGUCAAGAGCUGGGAGCAUCUGAAAUGGAAAAUGAGCGAGGUCCCAUCCAAAGAAGAAUGGCAACUUGGAAUACACGCAACUUGCAGAGUGUAGCCACAGAAGUCGGUGGACUUCAGUUACUCAGGUCCAUCCAUUUCAGUCAGUCUACCCUGAGUAUAGCAGCUAGAUAAAAAGGCACCCCUGACCGUUUGUUGUUGUUUAGUCAUUUAGUUGUGUCCGACUCUUUGUGACCCCCUGGACCAGAGCACGCCAGGCACUCCUGUCUUCCACUGCCUCCCGCAGUUUGGUCAAACUCAUGCUGGUAGCUUUGAGAACACUGUCCAACCAUCUCGUCCUCUGUCGUCC